RNAcentral lists this ribosomal RNA (460 nucleotides) under uncultured bacterium. RNAcentral describes it as "partial 16S ribosomal RNA". It matches the Rfam family "Bacterial small subunit ribosomal RNA", at positions 338 to 795 of the family's 1533-position model. The record is from RNAcentral.
CCUACGGGAGGCAGCAGUGAGGAAUAUUGGUCAAUGGACGAGAGUCUGAACCAGCCAAGUAGCGUGAAGGAUGACUGCCCUAUGGGUUGUAAACUUCUUUUAUAUGGGAAUAAAACGUUCCACGUGUGGGAUUUUGUAUGUACCAUAUGAAUAAGGAUCGGCUAACUCCGUGCCAGCAGCCGCGGUAAUACGGAGGAUCCGAGCGUUAUCCGGAUUUAUUGGGUUUAAAGGGAGCGUAGGUGGAUUGUUAAGUCAGUUGUGAAAGUUUGCGGCUCAACCGUAAAAUUGCAGUUGAAACUGGCAGUCUUGAGUACAGUAGAGGUGAGCGGAAUUCGUGGUGUAGCGGUGAAAUGCUUAGAUAUCACGAAGAACUCCGAUGGCGAAGGCAGUUCACUGGACUGCAACUGACACUGAGGCUCGAAAGUGUGGGUAUCAAACAGGAUUAGAUACCCCUGUAGUC